GACUGGGCUAGCUCCGUCCUCCGUCUCUCUCUCUCUCUCUACUUGACGGCGUGUAUGUACGCGGUUAAGGGCGCUCGAAAUACUACUACGAAACUGUCCGUGUAGUAGUGCGUUUACCGAACGGUGGCGGCGGCUCAUACUGUCAGGAACGCGCUGAGAUUAUCGGUGCCCGGAGCAAUCGUAUUAAAGUUUACGUCAUGAUUUAUAUCCGAGGAUUUAUGGCCUAUCACAAAAAAUCAAGAUUGAUAUCUUUGCGCAUAUGUAUUAUUUUUCUAUGAAAAUUUAUCUCGUUAGAUCCUUACAUUGAUCCUUACAAUGAUUAACGUAAUAAUGCGAGAUCUUUUUUUGAGAAAAGCAGAAAUUGAAUAAAACAUACGGAUAAUUUUCAGCGACCUGUGUAUAAGAAUUUUCUUUUUACUUGUGAUUAAUUUAUCAAAUUGCAAAAAAUGUUUCAUUACUCCAUCUAUCGUUGCUAUUCCCUUAUACGUCACUGGAAACCGCGCAUAUCAUCGAUGCGCGCGCAACGCAAUCAUCCGUCUCGACACGGCGUGGCGGUUCGCGCGAGCCCUGUUAGGGACCGGAUAUUUUGUAAACAAGCGAAGCAAAGGGUCAAUUAAUUUCAGCCGCUCUUUCCUGCUUCCCGCGUGUGUCCCCUCUCUUCCGAUGUCAUCGUUCGCGUCAUUUGUUUCACGCCGUGGCAUUUCCAUGCGAUUUCGAUCAAAUGCCAUUUUCGAAUUUAAGUGAUCAUUAGUGUUACUUCAAAGAAUGCCGAUCUCGAAUUCAUUCCAGAAGUUCCAACAACAUUUUUGCAACAACGGCAAACAAUCAACAGCGAGAUGGUUUUUUACGGCUGCGCAGGAAGGAGCAAAUUGCGGGGGAUUUUGGAAGCUAAGUUGUUCAGCGGUCUUUGAUCACGGAAUAAGACAGCUUUGAGAGAUUAUCGAAAACGACGCGCGCAGCGUGAAUCAAAGUACUGAAAUAGAAGAGAUGACUACUCGCCCGAAACUGUUCUCAGGUCGACAAGUAAAAGAAGUUACCUCCGAAAAGACGAUGAUUGAGAGAGAAACGGGUGGACAUGGACAACAUUUAUGGACCAAGAGAUCUAAUGUGCUAUCCCUUGAAUUUAUCAAGAGUAGUCAUAUGUAACACGAAAACAAAAACAAAUUACAAGGAUAAAUCACAAGCCCUACGCGAGAAAGAUCCUGGAAGGAUCCAUUAUUUACUCGUGGAUUCAGGAGUUUAUGAUUAUUUAGAAAAAAAUUAUUUAGAAAAAAAAACACAACAAAGAAACCGAGAAACAUUCACCGAAUUCUAUCAAGAAUUUGUGUUUUACGGAAUUGAAUCGCGAGCUCCAUGAAACUGUG
Cataglyphis hispanica is the source of this 1364-nucleotide long non-coding RNA. RefSeq lists it as uncharacterized. Lineage: Eukaryota; Metazoa; Arthropoda; Insecta; Hymenoptera; Formicidae. The record is from RefSeq and is a predicted model, not a curated record. The transcript is spliced from 5 exons.